This 169-nucleotide ribosomal RNA is filed under the name uncultured bacterium. Its description in RNAcentral is "partial 16S ribosomal RNA". It matches the Rfam family "Bacterial small subunit ribosomal RNA", at positions 338 to 524 of the family's 1533-position model. The record is from RNAcentral. RNAcentral also lists the same sequence under 2 other names.
CCUACGGGAGGCAGCAGUGGGGAAUCUUAGACAAUGGGGGCAACCCUGAUCUAGCCAUGCCGCGUGAGUGAUGAAGGCCUUAGGGUCGUAAAGCUCUUUCGCCUGUGAUGAUAAUGACAGUAGCAGGUAAAGAAACCCCGGCUAACUCCGUGCCAGCAGCCGCGGUAAU